RNAcentral lists this ribosomal RNA (447 nucleotides) under uncultured bacterium. Its description in RNAcentral is "partial 16S ribosomal RNA". It matches the Rfam family "Bacterial small subunit ribosomal RNA", at positions 355 to 794 of the family's 1533-position model. The record is from RNAcentral.
UAGGGAAUCUUCCACAAUGGACGCAAGUCUGAUGGAGCAACGCCGCGUGAGUGAAGAAGGUUUUCGGACCGUAAAGCUCUGUUGUUGGUGAAGAAGGAUAGAGGUAGUAACUGGCCUUUAUUUGACGGUAAUCAACCAGAAAGUCACGGCUAACUACGUGCCAGCAGCCGCGGUAAUCGUAGGUGGCAAGCGUUGUCCGGAUUUAUUGGGCGUAAAGCGAGCGCAGGCGGAAGAAUAAGUCUGAUGUGAAAGCCCUCGGCUUAACCGAGGAAUUGCAUCGGAAACUGUUUUCUUGAGUGCAGAAGAGGAGAGUGGAACUCCAUGUGUAGCGGUGGAAUGCGUAGAUAUAUGGAAGAAUACCCAGUGGCGAAGGCGGCUCUCUGGUCUGCAACUGACGCUGAGGCUCGAAAGCAUGGGUAGCGAACAGGAUUAGAUACCCCUGGUAGU